GUGUGUGUGUGUAAAGAAGGUGUCGAGAUGCUUGCAGUCACUCUGCCAGUGCUGGCUAAUCAUGAUGGUACUUGGUGCAUUCCUGCUCUUAUCUCUCUUAAUAGGAGAAUCUGUUGGGAAUACUAUAACACCCUCUCAUUCCUCAGUGGUCAUCAUUGAGGGAGAAAGUGUCACUUUCUCCUGUAACUACAGCAGUAGUGAUGUCAGUAACUUGCAGUGGUAUCGGCAGUAUCCCAACUCUAUCCCAGAGUUCCUCUACUACAUAUAUGUGGCUGGUACCACUUCAGGCCCAGUUCCCCGUCUGACUCCCUCCAUAAAGACAGAGGAAAAGCGUGUGUUUCUGGAGCUCUCCUCUGCAGAGGCGUCUGACUCUGCUGUGUACUACUGCGCCCUGGUGCCCACAGUGACAGGAACUCAGACUCUGCUGUGCAAAAACCUCUCAGAUGUGCAGGAGGAGGGAGAUUCAACAUGUCCCCUUCACAGACAGAGAAUCUGUUGGGAAUACUAUAACACCCUCGCAUUCUUCACUGAUCGUCAUCGAGGAAGACGCUGUUACUUUCUCCUGUAACUACAGUGAUAGUGU
This is a non-coding RNA of Alosa sapidissima (American shad), 583 nucleotides long. The record is from the annotation of a RefSeq genome assembly. NCBI's taxonomy places the organism in Eukaryota, Metazoa, Chordata, Actinopteri, Clupeiformes, Clupeidae.